RNAcentral lists this ribosomal RNA (994 nucleotides) under uncultured bacterium. Its description in RNAcentral is "bacterial SSU rRNA". It matches the Rfam family "Bacterial small subunit ribosomal RNA", at positions 507 to 1501 of the family's 1533-position model. The record is from RNAcentral.
GCCAGCAGCCGCGGUAAUACGGAGGGUGCAAGCGUUAAUCGGAAUUACUGGGCGUAAAGCGUACGUAGGCGGUGUGUUAAGCAAGAUGUGAAAGCCCCGGGCUCAACCUGGGAAUUGCAUUUUGAACUGGCACGCUAGAGUCCUGCAGAGGGUGGUAGAAUUUCCAGUGUAGCGGUGAAAUGCGUAGAUAUUGGAAGGAAUACCAGUGGCGAAGGCGGCCACCUGGUCAGAGACUGACGCUGAGGUACGAAAGCGUGGGGAGCAAACAGGAUUAGAUACCCUGGUAGUCCACGCCGUAAACGAUGUCAACUAGUUGUUCGUGUCACUAAGACGUGAGUAACGCAGCUAACGCACUAAGUUGACCGCCUGGGGAGUACGGCCGCAAGGUUAAAACUCAAAUGAAUUGACGGGGGCCCGCACAAGCGGUGGAGCAUGUGGUUUAAUUCGACGCAACGCGAAGAACCUUACCUGGUCUUGACAUGCAGAGAACUUUCCAGAGAUGGAUUGGUGCCUUCGGGAACUCUGACACAGGUGCUGCAUGGCCGUCGUCAGCUCGUGUCGUGAGAUGUUGGGUUAAGUCCCGUAACGAGCGCAACCCCUAUCCCUAGUUGCUAGCAGUUCGGCUGAGAACUCUAGGGAGACUGCCGGUGACAAACCGGAGGAAGGUGGGGAUGACGUCAGGUCAUCAUGGCCCUUACGGCCAGGGCUACACACGUGCUACAAUGGUGCGCACAGAGGGCUGCAAACCCGCGAGGGGGAGCCAAUCUCACAAAACGCAUCGUAGUCCGGAUCGGAGUCUGCAACUCGACUCCGUGAAGUCGGAAUCGCUAGUAAUCGUGAAUCAGAAUGUCACGGUGAAUACGUUCCCGGGCCUUGUACACACCGCCCGUCACACCAUGGGAGUGGAUUGCACCAGAAGUGGUUAGUCUAACCUUCGGGAGGACGAUCACCACGGUGUGGUUCAUGACUGGGGUGAAGUCGUAACAAGGUAACC